CCCCCACAUAGUCGGCGUACCCUAUUGACUCACUAUAUUAGAACAAACCGGCCAAGAUAUAAAAAGUAUGUAUGUUCUCGCAUAGAACUAACGCCGGCAUCAUCUACUAAGGAGAUACAGACAAGUCAACGGACACUCUUGAAAAUAAUAUGGUUUCGGCUGCAAAGGCGAAAUGACGUAUGCAAAACCAAACUACACCAGAACCGAGAAAUCGAACGGCUGGUAUUAGACAAACGACGCCUACGAAGGGAGUGGCAGUCCAAUAGAUCACCAACUACAAGGCACAUGCUUAAAAUAGCCAUACGCAUACUAGACUAGAAGACUUCAAUUAUGCCUCUACGAAGUCCCUCUAGCACCUGAUUUCGCAGUGAUGAGGAAAGAGCCAGUGCUUUCGCUGACCAUUUACAAAAUGUAUUUCGACCAAAUCCCGUUACCAACUCAUUUAUUCUCCCUCCUUUAAUAGAAGCAAAUUUAGAACAUUAAGAACCCAUUGAAUUCCGACCAUGUGAAUUAGCAAAGGUUAUCAAAGAGAAACUGAAGCCAAGAAAAUCAUCUUGCUCAUUGAACUCCCAAAGUGUGCUAUUACUUGUUGUUCAACGCAAUCGUCAAGUUUGGAUACUUCCCUCAAAAAUCGAAAAACUACCAUAGUAAAAAAAAAAAAAAAGCCAGGACAAGAUAAAACGCAGCUAUCAUCAUAUAGACCGAUAAGCUUACUAACUUGUCUCUCAAAGUUGAUUGAAAAAAGGCUACUCCUGCGAAUUAGCCCUCAUCUUAAAAUAAACAACACACUCCCAACACAACAAAGCUCAUAUAUAACUCCGUCUUAAAACCUAUUUAGACUUAUGGAUCCGAGCUGUGAGGCAAAGCAUCCAGAAGUAACAUUAUUCAGCGAGCACAGUCAAUAAUUUUGAGAAACAUCACUGGAGCGCCGUGGUACCUACGUGUCCAACACUUGGCCACCCGAUAAAUAACCAAAAUUAAAGUAAACACAACCUCCACUUGGAGACCAAGCCAUGAUCAACUUAUUGCGCUUCAAUCAAACUGCAUCAGCAGCAAAUUUCAAUUUCACAAGACGGUGAAAUAAUUUCAGCAUAAAGCUUUUAUCCCAAACUUAACUGAAAGUUCAAAAUGUUCGAAUGAAAAGCUUCUCUGGCCGAGAUUGAUUGGAUCAGGAUUAAGAAUCAGUCUGAAUCGGAAUGAGAUCGUGAACAGCUUCAAAUCAAAGAUGAGCUAAUACCUAAAAAUGAAAAUAGUAACCGAAGUAAUAACUGAGAAGAAAAUAGAAUACCUAGAAAAGCUGACCACCCAUCCAAAUCCCCUCGCAAGAAAACUAAUCCCAGUAUGCUGUCAAAGCCGGCUGCACCGCAACGACCAACCAGCCCAGCAAUAAACUUAUUAGGACAUUAAUCACGAACAAUAUCACUAACUGAAUGUUAACUAGCUAGAUUAAGAUUUGAGUACUUGUUAUUAGUCUCUCAAAACAAAUGGAAAAAAAUUAAUAAAUAAUAAAUAAAUUUCGCGUUCGCA
This is a long non-coding RNA of Drosophila sechellia, 1527 nucleotides long. RefSeq lists it as uncharacterized. NCBI's taxonomy places the organism in Eukaryota, Metazoa, Arthropoda, Insecta, Diptera, Drosophilidae. The transcript is spliced from 2 exons. The record is from RefSeq and is a predicted model, not a curated record.